This 433-nucleotide ribosomal RNA is filed under the name uncultured bacterium. Its description in RNAcentral is "partial 16S ribosomal RNA". It matches the Rfam family "Bacterial small subunit ribosomal RNA", at positions 29 to 507 of the family's 1533-position model. The record is from RNAcentral.
AACGAACGCUGGCGGCAUGCCUAAUACAUGCAAGUCGAACGAGAUCUUCGGAUCUAGUUGCGCACGGGUGCGUAACGCGUGGGAAUCUGCCCUUGGGUUCGGAAUACCUUCUGUAAACGGAAGCUAAUACCGGAUGAUGACGUAAGUCCAAAGAUUUAUCGCCCAAGGAUGAGCCCGCGUAGGUUUAGGUAGUUGGUGAGGUAAAGGCUCACCAAGCCGACGAUCCUUAGCUGGUCUGAGAGGAUGAUCAGCCACACUGGGACUGAGACACGGCCCAGACUCCUACGGGAGGCAGCAGUAGGGAAUAUUGGACAAUGGGGGAAAGCCUGAUCCAGCAAUGCCGGGUGAGUGAUGAAGGCCUUAGGGUUGUAAAGCUCUUUUACCCGGGAUGAUAAUGACAGUACCGGGAGAAUAAGCUCCGGCUAACUCCGUG